This 301-nucleotide unclassified non-coding RNA is filed under the name uncultured fungus. RNAcentral's name for it is "sequence contains ITS2". The stretch from base 1 to 52 matches the Rfam family "5.8S ribosomal RNA", at positions 103 to 154 of the family's 154-position model. The record is from RNAcentral. Lineage: Eukaryota; Fungi.
AACGCACCUUGCGCUCUCUGGUAUUCCGGAGAGCAUGCCUGUUUGAGUGUCAUGAACUCUUCAACCCACCGGUUCCUUGUUGAACCGAGUUGGUGUUUGGAUUUUGAGUGUUGCUUUUAAUUAAGCUCAUUCGUAAUACAUUAGCAUCUCAAUUUCGUAAUCGGAUUGACUCAGCGUAAUAGACUAUUCGCUGAGGACACUUUUUACUAAGUGGCCGAGAAUGAAAAGUUAGAAGCUUCCAACUCUUCUAGUCAUCUUUAGAUUAGACCUCAGAUCAGGCAGGAUUACCCGCUGAACUUAA